This 371-nucleotide ribosomal RNA is filed under the name Helixena sanctaemariae. Its description in RNAcentral is "partial 16S ribosomal RNA". Lineage: Eukaryota; Metazoa; Mollusca; Gastropoda; Stylommatophora; Helicidae. The record is from RNAcentral.
CCCUGCUCAAUGGAUUACUAAAUAGCCGCAGUACUUUGACUGUGCAAAGGUAGCAUAAUCAUUUGGCUUAUAAUUGAAGUCUGGUAUGAAUGGGUAAAUGGAUAAUAACUAUCUCUCCAUAAUAAACUGAAUUUACUUAUUAAGUGAAAAUUCUUAUAUAAAAAUAAUAGACGAGAAGACCCUAGAAAUUUUUUAAAUAUAUAUUAAGAUAUUCUAUUUUGUUGGGGCGACAAGGUAGCAAUAAACCUACCUAUAAAAUAUAAAAAAUUAAUGAGAUAAAUAAUUAAAUUACUCUAGGGAUAACAGCAUAAUGUAUAAGAGUUUGUGACCUCGAUGUUGGACUAGGUAAAUUAAUGUUUAAAAGAUAUUAG